CGGCCAGGUGCCCGGAGUCUCGUCCGGGAUAAUAGGGAAACAGGUGAAAAUCCUGUACGGUCCCGCCGCUGUAAAGCAGGAAUGGCUUUUCAUAUCCACUGUGCCCGCCGGGCAUGGGAAGGGAAAAGCCGUGCUGAUGGCUAAGUCAGAAGACCUGCCUGGCUG
RNAcentral lists this non-coding RNA (165 nucleotides) under uncultured Bariatricus sp. The record is from RNAcentral. Lineage: Bacteria; Bacillati; Bacillota; Clostridia; Lachnospirales; Lachnospiraceae.